Asparagus officinalis (garden asparagus) is the source of this 717-nucleotide long non-coding RNA. RefSeq lists it as uncharacterized. The transcript is spliced from 4 exons. The record is from RefSeq and is a predicted model, not a curated record. Lineage: Eukaryota; Viridiplantae; Streptophyta; Magnoliopsida; Asparagales; Asparagaceae.
GUCGAGAACAAAAACAUUGCUGGAUUCGAUAAUCCUGGAAAAUCUCUGUACACAACAGUUCGAGAGCUUGUUGAAAAUUCUCUGGAUUCAACGGAGUCUAUUUCCGAACUCCCAAUCAUUGAAAUAACAAUGCAAGACCUAAUUAUUUUGACCAUUAGUUCUGCUUGGAUCAUAAGCAUUGUGAUUGUUUGUGUGCAUUAUGAGGUACAAAAAAUUUAGCGUCAUUGGUUAUUUGUACAGCUCACUUGGAAUGAUGCGGUCAUUGAUAGGGAUGAUGACAUAUAUCUUGAACUUAAUAUAAAAAUUUCAAUCUCCUUCUUUAACGAGCAUCACUUUCUUGGUUAUAAGUAGCAAAGUUGCUGUCUUAGGGAAAAACUUCCUUAAUUGGAUAUAUGGCGUGUUUUGGAUGCUGCGGAGAAGAAGACUUUCACCAAGCUACUGAUACGGGAAGACCUUUCACUGCACACCAUGCGACAGGUGAUUCAAGAACUCGCAAAACAAGACUUUCUGAACCGAGGGGACGAAACUACAAAAGAAAUACAAAGUGAAAGUGUACAAGCAUUAGAAAAAAUCUCUUAUUUGAAUUAGAUGUAAAAGUCUUAAAGAAACUAGUGCGAGAGAAAACUUAAACAUGACACUAUAUAAACUUAAACAUGACACUAUGUAACUGCAAAAUAUUAACUUUUGUUGGUUUGUAUUUGUUGGAUAUUUUGGAUC